AUACAUGUGCUCUCUGAAUUCAUCUUCUCCUUUCGGCUAUGAAAUUUGAAACAAUUUUCAAAUCAAAAGUCUUCAAUCCCUUAUCCAUGCAACAUCUACUUCUCACACUGUCAAAGCUUAAGAAAUUCCAUUUUAAUCCCUUAUCUCUCUUCAAAUCCUCCUCUAAUUUGGGAAUUUUUUCUCAUGUCUUUACACAAUGAAAAACCCAAUGUUGAAUAAUACCCAUUUUAUUGAUUCAUUCUUUGUUGAUUUUGCAGGUUUGGUCAAGGCGCAUGCAGUUUGGAUUUCCCUCCAGAGGGAUAAGAUCAGAUGAAUAGGUAAAAGGUAACUUUGAAUUUCAAUUUCAGAUUCUCCCGCCUUCAAAUUCAAUCGAUUUAUUCAUUUUAUAAUUGAAAUAGGGUUAGAGGUUUUGUCUAUUUAAGCAGUUAUGUAGUUUUUUUGCUUCUCCAUCUGUUAUUUUAUGGAUUUAAUUUCAUCAUCUGAUUUUUAUGCUACCUGUUUCUUUUUUGUCUAUGUUUGCAAAUUUAUUUUUCUUCUCAAUCUUCUCAAUCGAAUCCUCCAACCUGUUUCAAGACCCAUCCAGCAGGUAAUUUCAGUUUUGUUCUUUUUCCAAAUCCCUAAUUUUCUUUUCGUUCCUCUUUCUAAUCCUCUUUCUGUUUUUUUUUUAUGAUUAUCCUCUUUCUGUUGCCAUUGGGUUUUAUUGUUCAUUAUGAUGAUUUUGUUGUUUUUUUUUAAAUGCAGAGAUUUUGUUGAUUUCGAAAGUUGGUUGCUUUACUGCUCUAAAAAGUUAGACAGGGGUAAGAGCUUAAUUGUUUUGCUAAUGAUAAUUAUUUUCAUGUUUCUUCAUCAAAUUUUAGUUUCAAAUCAUAUCAUUUUUCUUGCUUUGGAAUGUUUUAUUGUUUGUCAGGUUUACAAAUUAGGAUUUGACUGGGUAAGUUUUAUAAACUUUAAUUGAUUAAAGAAAAAUAUAAUCAGAAUUAAUCAGAGAAAAUACUAUGCCUAUAGCUAUACAGUUUGAGAAAUGGGGUUUAAAGAGUAUGGAUGAAAUCCAAUUUGAGAAAAUCCUAAAAUCCAAAGGGUAAAAUAGAUAUUAUGAUUAUUUUGUUUGCUUUCAUUAGUAUCAUCUUUCUCCCAAUUUUCUGCACUUAUUUUUUCUUUGUCAAUUUGUGUUCUAUGUUUUAUGAUGAAUUUAACUGAUUUCUAAUAUGGUUUUGUUUAUUUAAAUCUGCAGCUUAGUUUUCAUUAAGAAAUAAGUAUGCUUUCAAUAUUUUAUGAAAUUUUAAACACAGCAAGACUUAUUUUUUUUGCUCAUUAUAUAACUUAUUUGAGGU
RNAcentral lists this long non-coding RNA (1331 nucleotides) under Trifolium pratense (red clover). RNAcentral describes it as "long non-coding RNA (TPRA_LNC000164)". The record is from RNAcentral. Lineage: Eukaryota; Viridiplantae; Streptophyta; Magnoliopsida; Fabales; Fabaceae.